This is a long non-coding RNA of Triticum aestivum (bread wheat), 5822 nucleotides long. RefSeq lists it as uncharacterized. Lineage: Eukaryota; Viridiplantae; Streptophyta; Magnoliopsida; Poales; Poaceae. The record is from RefSeq and is a predicted model, not a curated record. The transcript has 5 exons.
UGUUGAGCCACUGGAGUAUUUAUGUUUCGUUGCAAGUUUCAAGGUAAUUACCGAGUAAUAUAAAAAGAAAAAAAAUCCCGGGAGGCCGGGACUGCCUGCUGGAAAAGAGAUCUCGCCGGAAGACGCCGCUCCCGCCGUAAUCCCCCAAAUCCCCCGGAGCAGGGCAAUUUGUGGGUGGGGCAAGCCGAGCCACAAAUGUCCGGAGAGGAAGCCUAGGACAAGGGGAAGAACGAACUCCGCGACGAACCCACCACUGCCGGCGGCCGAUGAGUGCAAGGAGGAGGAAAUCAUCGAGGGGCUUCCUGAGCCGUUCAGUAGGGACGAGCUCCUUGACCUCCUGGUCCAGGUCUGCCUCCGAGAUGCCACCCUGCUCUCCCGCCUCGCCACCUCGGCGACCUCCGACGCCGCGCAUCACCUCCGCCGCGCUAGCCGCCCCCUUCGUCCCCUUUGGGGUCCUCGAUGGGUGCCACGCCGUCGCUGAACGCGCCACCGGCCGCUGCCGCGGCUAUGGCUUCAUCAUCCUCCGCCGAUGCUCAUCCCGCCGCCGCGCCCUCGCGGACUCCUCCAAGCGCGUCGGGGGCCGCCCCGUUGUCUGCCAGUUCGCCUCGGUCGGUCCCCCGGAGGCACGGCCCCCGGUUGUGCCUUCUUCGUUGGGUUGGAACACGUCAGAUAAACAUUCCAGAGUAGCCGUCUGCCUUUCGUAGGCCCGUUGACAUUGACAUGCCGGGAUGGUCAGGGGUCAAUGAGACAAGGCUUGACACAAUGUUACCUUGGACAAUAGGUAAACAGAACAUGAUCUCUUGCUAGCCAAGCGACGGAACAAGGUCGCACUGAGUUUAGCAGGCAUCAAUUGCACAUUUGCAUAGAACAGGGUAGAUGGAUGAAGAGACCAGAUUGAGGAAUCCACAGCAAAAUUCAGGGCUAAUAUUACUAUUUGCUGCCAGAAGGGGAAGCAACCUGUAAUUUCUGUUAAUUGAAUUUGCUUCUCCUUGAUGUAAUUACGGUUUACUUUAUGGUCAACAAGCUACACAUUUUCUUAUUUGAAUCUCCUCUAUGUUCUACUCCCUCCUUCCCAAAUUAGUUGUCUUAGAUUUGUCUAGAUACGGAUGUACCUAACACUAGUACAUCUAAUUUGGGACGGAGGUAAUACAUUGCAAGGCUCUAAGAAAUUCAGCUACAUGUAUAACCUGCUGCGAUUUGUAUGGUUGUAGCUAGCCACAUCUAUUACCUUCUGCGAUUUAUGUGCCUGGGCUGAGCACCCCAUCCCCCCUGCUCUGGGCUUCAUGCUCGCGCCUUCUAGUGCAUGUGUUGCAUGAUGUCCUGCAUCACUUUGUAAUGUUCUCACUCCUAUCAAUGAAAAGAUACACAAGCUCUUGCGUAUUUGUGAAAAAAGUAGGUAGCUAUAUGUAUAACCUGCUGUGCUUUGUACGGCUGUAUUCCAUUGGAAUUUUUUCUACAGGGUUUCUGUACUCAAUUUCAAAGGAAAAAUCAUUGACUGAAAUUUCUAGGAAUGGUUUCAAUGAUUUUUCUAUGGGGCGAUCAGACAUAGUUUUUUGUGGAGAUUCAAGAUUACAUGAUAAUUUUCUCAUUUCUAUGCUUUUGAUGUGAAUCAAAGAGGCCUUUUUUUCGAGAAAACGCAAAGGAUCUUUGCGUUUUAUUGCAUUGAGAAGAUGGGAACGUACAAUCCUCCUAGGAGGUGAGAGUUACAAGGGCCAUGCACCCGAUCAAUGGACAUCCCAGGAGGCGGGCAGAACAACCCUUAGCCCCUGUGCCCCCAGCUUGUGCCCAGCAUUUGGCCUGACUUAGCAAUUUUGAUCAUAAGGGCUAAAGAAAUGAAAGCUAGCACUUCCACAGUUUCACUCCCUAAGCACCGAUUAGAUGGUUAGGUCAUGUUUUCUUUCAGUCCCUUUAUUAAGGUUUCUCGUACAUAUUUAUUGUGUUUGAAUACAUUUCUAGCUGGUCACAGGACAUGCCCGCCAUGGAGGUUGUGCUGCAGGUCUGCAACAAUGAAGGCAAGAAGAGCGUGCACCAAACAUUGAAGACAUGAUUGACAUGCAGCAACGGCCAUAUGUUCUUCCUCACCUCCUCGUCUGGGGUAAGCCAUUUCUCUGUGCACCUCACCGCCCUUGUAGACUGUAGAAGGUGCUCAAUGUAAUGCAAGAGUAAUAUAUAGUUGGAAUUGCGUUGUUCAGUGUUUGCCCGUGCAAGCUCCAUGUUGAGUCCUUGCUCUCCUGUACAGUUUCAGUGGGGUUCAGGCGGCUUGCCGGGCUGUGGCUCUGCCAGACCGCCACUGCCACUGACCGACUCUGACAAGCAUUUUAUGCCUAUGCUGUGGGAAGUGUGAUGCCAGUUCUGGUAUAACAGAGAAGCUGCCACAAUAUGGAUGCACCUUGAAAAUUGGAAACAGAUAGCUCUCCUUUAUCUUAUCAUGUCAUGGCAAAAGCAGAUGCAUUUUGUGUAGGACUUCAUUCAAAGCCGGGCUUUAGCUGUUCAGAUGGUCAUAUUCUCUGUUGUCAUUCAGGUACCUGAUUCCCUUCCUGCUCCUGCUAAGCCUGUCUAUCAAAGGCAGGCAGGAAAAGUGAACACUAAUUUGGUUUUCUUGAUCAGUUCCGGAGCAUAAUCUGACCAGGAUUGCACUAACAUGCCAGGGCUAUUUGGAUUUAUGCCUUUAAUGAUCUGCUUCUACGCAGAUUAUCUUUGCUGGUGUUGGUGGAAUCUGAGAGCAUGACUGGUGGAUGGGGGAGAGGGUUCUGAAUUCUGAUUCUCAGUGAGGUCAUCAGCAUAAAUCCUCAUUGGAUUAAUCAUUGGGGUCAGAGUUGGAAUGCACCAGUUGUCAUCUAAUGUAUCGUCUGCCACCGCAUCCGGUCUCCCUUUGGCAGUUGAAGAAUACUGCAGCCACAGGUGGGCCUAGACUGUAAAGUGCUGAGAAGUCCCUUGAGUUGAAAUUUGGUCUCCAUCCUGGUGCAUAAAUUGUCUGCUGGACAGAUUGGCGGAAAAUCACAAAGACAAAGCGAUGUAUUCCUGCUGUUGGCUUUGGACUUUCGUAGUUGACUAUCUCGUUUCCUGAAAUGUAUUUUUUAUAACUUUUCAGAGCAAGUUAUGCAAUAUUGUGCCUUGGCUUACAAACAUUUUGUUGGGUUCAGUGUAGAAUCUCAAUGGUGUUACAAGGUUCAAAUUCACCUUUAUCUGCCCAAAUGAUAUAUACUGCAGACUGGCUGCCAGAUUAUACAAACUUAAGCCAGUCAUUUUAAUAAAUCUCUAGAAUUAAUAAAUGUGGAAGUCAGAAAUAUAUGCUACCUAUUGUGUUAGAUUGCUAGUCUAUGGUGAGUAAUAUAGUUAUAUUUUGCACACCAUUUCAAUAGUGAUUAACUGUCGAUCUUUACUCUACGGGUAAGUAGUAUUUUCAUUUUAUUUUGUUCUUUGUCAAUACAAAAUAGGUGUGGACAUCAUCAGGACUCCCGGAAGGUAGGUAUAUUAUAAAUGUCUAUUCAGUACUUCGAAACAUUUAAAUCGUGGAAACAAUAUGCAAAAGGAAGGGAAUAACCCACCAUAGCUUGCAUCUGUUGAUUCUGGAAUGUCUGUCACCAACCUGUGUGAAAUGCUCAGAACUGUAAGAAACAGUUUAUGAUUUGAUAUUUAGAAUCGUUCAUUGCAAGUGUUUCAGGUCUUACCAAUGAAGAUACUCUCUUUUGGUUGGAUUGCUUGGACUUGGUGAGUCAGGAUCCACCAUCACCUAUUGCCAGUAGUCCUCCUCGAGUCUUGCUUAUGGAUCAAACACUAGAAACAGACUGAAUGCCUCUCUCCUCAAAGCUGUUGGAAAGAGCUAAAGUCAUGUGUUGGCAGCGCAGCACUUUUAAGAUCUCUUCUGAUUUACCAACGUAGAUUAUGGACAAAGGUUUCAGCUUCGCAAGUUCGAACUGUUUAUGAAUAAAAAAUCAUAAGCAAUUUCCAAAAGCUAGAAAGAGAAGCCUUAUUAUAUUUGAUUAGAGAAGUACCACCGCACCUGAGUUCAAAGGUAAUAAAUUUCAAUUGUGCAUGGUGUUAUUUCUCAGGCCUAAAUUUCAAUUGAGUGCGUCCAAACAAAGAAUGGCAAAGAGUUUAGUUAUAAGAUGAUGAACCUUAAAGUUGAUGGAAUAUGUGGAUUGCCUUUUGGUUUGUUUUGUGGCUACACGGUCUUGAUCCUUGACCAAAGAAUAAAGCAGUGCCGCCCUUCACGUGGGCAUAUCCCAUUGGUCCAGGAACCUGAAUAGUGCAUCGAACUCGGCGGAGAAUGAUGGACAUCACAUGGGCUACCCAAGUACAGACAUGGACAUUUGACAGAGAUACUUCCAGCUUGGAAUUACAUGAAACAGACAUCGAUAUGGAGGGGAAAACUUCCAGAAAAGGAAAAAUAAUAAUCCUGUGAGGUUUUGGAUUUUGGGAAAAAUAUGGAUACUGCUUGACUGCUGCAUUCUUCCAUUGGUGGCUGCCGAAAAGUUGGAUUCUGCUGCCUUCUGGCUCUGUGCUCUCAUAGAGAAAAGCCAUAGGCAAUCAUCAGUUGAUCACACCGUCUAUGAAUACUACGUGAAGAUAGGCAGGGACUCUGGGCCUCUGGCGUGGCAAAUCUGUUUACUAUGUUGUGAGAAAUUGGACAUGGCACACGAGUAACUGAUCAAGGCAGCGAGACGACGACUAAGAUUAUUUGGUGGCAAUAUUGGUAAUGUACUACAGCAGCACACAUGCGUCAUCUACCACUGCCACUGCUUAGCUAUUUUUUUCGUUGGCUCUAGGGUAGUGCCAGCAAUUUUGUUUUCUCUUGAUGGUUUCGUAGGCUGCCAUGCCUUGAGAGUUGAACCGAUCACGCAGAAUCUGGGCAUGUACUGGGGGAAUCCUUCCGGAAACAACUAGCACCGCACUUGAAGAGUUAAGCUACUCGGAGACUAUAGCUGCCAGGGGCAAAGAGAGAGAGGUACGGGGUCGCCUAUACCUCCCUCGGGUGAUUGUUUUUAAAUUUUAAAUCAUAUACAAGUACUCCCUCCGCCCGAAAAUACUUGUCGGAGAAAUGAAUGUAUCUAGAUGUAUUUUAAUUCUAGAUACAUCCGUUUUAUAAUCCAUUUAUGCGACAAGUAAUUUCGGACGGAGGGAGGAGUAGAUUUGUUAGCUAUCCUCUUUAUUCUUUCUCAGCCAUCUUCUGCCUCAAGCCUCUCAGUCUAAGGCUGGCCUCUGUCUUGCGCUGGGGCCUGUGGGCCGUCAUUUCUUGCCGCGGAGGCCACACCGGCGCUUCUGCCUUGUACUCCCUCUGUCUGUAAAGAAGUAUAAGAUUGUCUAGAUCACUACUUCCUCCGUCCCAUAAUAUAAGAGCAUUUUUUAUACUACACUAGUGUCAAAUAUGCUCUUAUAUUAUGGGACGGGAAAGUAUAUUAUAGUAGUAUUUCUUUACAGAGCGAGUAGGUGAGUUCACCAGGGUUUGAAGUUGAAGACGAGUGUGGAAAACAAGACAGAGGGCUAAACUAGGAAGCUGCUCUGCUGGUGCUGGGUAUAUCUACGGAUUGCGGCAUCGGUACAUGUGUUGCAAGUGGUGCAUGCAGAGCCGCGCCUGGUCAGAUGAGCGUUUCGAGUGGAGUGCCGCUUGCUUGAUGUGCUUUCUCGGUUGCUCUAGUUGCUCUUAUGGUCUUAUCGGCUUCCUACACAUCUGGAAGGAGAUGGAGGUCAAUGUUAUGGCCCGCACGUAUGCCUAUGCUGGUAAUAGUACGUACUAGUAGAAAUGGGCGCAAAAGCUGCCCUUGUCCUCUCUGGCCUAUUCUGCUGUAGGCCGGUUUGGUUGGAUCUUCUGUCUUUGCAAA